This 481-nucleotide long non-coding RNA is filed under the name Bos indicus x Bos taurus (hybrid cattle). RNAcentral describes it as "lncRNA (ENSBIXG00005011116.1)". Lineage: Eukaryota; Metazoa; Chordata; Mammalia; Artiodactyla; Bovidae. The record is from RNAcentral.
AUAAUAAUCAUGGAAACUUAUUGGCUACACAGUAUGUGACUUGCCAGGAUAUAAAUAUACUUGGACAUUCUCUAUUAGAGAAUAGAAAUCUCUAAGGGAUUCUCAAUUAAAGGGGCCACUUGGAUAAUGUACUUUUGCUUGCUGGUUUAUUCACAGGUUUAUAUCUCCAUGAAUUUGAGAAAAUUAAGAAUAAAAGAUUCAUUGAUUACAGAAAAUCAUCCCAAGAAGAUGCUCCCUUUUGACCAGUACAAAAGAGAGGUAUUUUAUUGGAAACUCUGCCUGUUCCCAUUUGUCCAUGCAGUUUUUCACCAUCUCAAAUGGGGUCACCAACUUAUAUCUUCACUACAUCAGCCCACUUUGUGACUACUGUCUGCCAGACUUCAGCCCUACAUUCCUGGGUGAUUUCAGUCAGAUACGGCAAUACUUUCCCCCAAAGCUGAAAACAUGAGGUAAAUAAAAUCUGUGGUCUCUUUCUUGGACA